UGUUCCAUUCGAGGAAUAGCGCGAGUACAAGACCAAAAAGUCAAAAGUCAAAACAAAAGGCUACGCUAGCUUUUACAAGUCUCGCGCGUCACUCGUAUCCCUGUAAGGAAAACAAAUAACGUGGUAUGAGCUAAAAGCCCAGUGAGGUUCCAAAUAGCAAAUUGACCAUUAUUUUUUUUUUAGUACAAGUUUCGAUAUAGCAAAGUAACGAGCAUGAAGAGUUCAUAAAUGUGAACAAUAACACGUCAAGUAGCAAUCUCAAAAUGAGCGAGUGUAGAAGUUUUCCAUAAGCAACAAUAAUCCAAUAAGUAAUAAUCACUCCAAAGUAUAAGGAUACGGAUGACUCUCAGGAGCCCAAAUUCCCAUUGCAUUACCAGAAGCUUGAUCACGUAGUAGUUGACACUCCGUCAACUUUCAAGUAAGUAACCAAUCCAGUAGAACACCACUUACACGACUCUCCGUCCACCAUUCACACCCCCUACUGGGCCCAAAAUCCUCAAUAAACAUGGGUGGUAAUACUCGAGUAUACCGUUAGUCGAGGAGAUAACACUCCACUCGACAUUACAAGUGACCCAGGGUUUGUUAUCUAAUCGACCAGGCCCUUGCCGGCUCGACUCGAGUAACUCGCCACAGGGUUUCCGGAAUUCCAGGAAGUGCGCACAUCAUGAACAAGUAUAUCAAGUCAAUUGCAAUCAAUAAACAAGUAUAUCACGUAAAGGCAAGUGCGAUAAAGUACACUCUUGCCCUAUCAAUUCACGUAUAUAACAUGUACUCAUAUUGGUCACGUAUCAAGUUCAAGUAUCUAGUACAUUUCGGUAUUUGAAAGCACUCACCAAAAGAUAUAGUGCCUUUAUUGAUCACUUUCAGGGUAUACUCCGGGUUCGGAGUCCAAAUCUGCGAUAAAACUCAGUUUGAGAACUUUGAAACAUGACUAAGAUUCGAAACUUAGACGUUUCGUUCAAUAAAAUCAAGAAAUUAAAAUUCACUUGAGAAGAGUCAUGUAAUAGUUGCUCACUCUUCAAACUGAAAACUUUGAUAACAUUUUUUCUUGAAGAUGACUCUUGAGUCAAAAGUGCAAGUAAAACGGUUUCAUAGUGAUUCAUAUCAUUUUCCUAAGGGUACAAGUUCGGCCAAGUCCUAACGUAUAACCCUCGAUAAACAAAUGGCAAAGGUCCUCGAUAGUUCAAGUGAUAAUCACUUAACCUUCACUCAAGUCACAAAGAGAGUUUUCUAGACCUCGAGUAAAAAUUCGGGCAGCAUGCCCUUUGUGUUUACCUAAUUUCCAGCCAUUUAGGCUUCAUUAUUUUUCUUCAACAACAACCCAACAUCAUACAUAUCAGCAAUUUAUGUCAAGAGCCGUUCCAUAGGCUCACAAUAUCAUAAUAACAAGAAUCGCAUUAAGGACAAGUGCAGAAAUUAAAUUUAGCACAAGACAGAUUUGACGUACCAAUGCGGAAAUAACAUAUCCAAGGCUACGCUUAUCGGAUUAAGACGAAACCUGUGCCAUUUCGAAGCUAAGACACAGAGCUACAACAUUCAUGAAGGUCACUUAGUCCAGUUCCUAAUGUAACUUAGUCAAAUUCUCGAAUUACUAAACCAGAAACCAAUUCGUCGGCUGUUUAAAUGCAGAACACUGUAAUGGACAUAACUCAGUGUACACAAGUCCGAAUCAGGUUUUCUUUGAGGCAUUUUAAAGAUACUUCAGAACACUACAACUUUUAUGUUUUGGCCCAGAGCUAAAUCAGAAUGGAUCCUGGUCAAAAAUCGUGAUAAACUGGACUGAACUGAAGAAACGGACUGCUGGGAAAUUCUUAAAACAGUAGGGGUAUUUUGGACUUUUCACGUUCUGCGUUGCUCCGAUUGAGCUGAAAUUUUAUAGGCACCUAUAAAACAUCAUUUCCUACAACUUUCCUUCUUUGACCCAAGGCCAAUUCGGCCUCUAACACAUAGAUACAAAUUCGGACAGAAAUGAUCAAGAAUUUUCCAGAAAUCUGGAAUUUGUAGUUUCUAGUGAAAUUUUCCCUAAUUUCUCACUCCAAUCACUCCCAAAACACCUUAUAAAACCUCAAUGGUAACAUACAAGUAUCACACAUCAAGUUGGGCAGAAAUUCCACAGCCCUAGUUCAUCAAUUAAAUUGGGGAAAACUACUAAAACUUGCUAAUCAUCCAUAAUCUCACCAUAAAAUCAAGUUACUAGGCUUAAUAUAACAAGAUUAGAAGUAAAACUUGGAGAGAUAAACUCUCUUACCUUGAAUAAAAGUCACCAAGAGUAGCACAAGCUCUCCCCUUCAAGAAUCACACCACAACUCACUAGCUAGUCACUCAAGAACAAGUUUAAUCGG
This 2342-nucleotide long non-coding RNA is filed under the name Coffea arabica (coffee). RNAcentral describes it as "long non-coding RNA (CARA_LNC008277)". Lineage: Eukaryota; Viridiplantae; Streptophyta; Magnoliopsida; Gentianales; Rubiaceae. The record is from RNAcentral.